GAGUUUGAUCAUGGCUCAGGAUGAACGCUGGCGGCGUGCCUAAUACAUGCAAGUCGAGCGAACGGACGAGAAGCUUGCUUCUCUGAUGUUAGCGGCGGACGGGUGAGUAACACGUGGGUAACCUACCUAUAAGACUGGGAUAACUCCGGGAAACCGGGGCUAAUACCGGAUAACACAUGAAACCGCAUGGUUUCAUGAUGAAAGACGGUCUUGCUGUCACUUAUAGAUGGAUCCGCGCUGCAUUAGCUAGUUGGUAAGGUAACGGCUUACCAAGGCAACGAUGCAUAGCCGACCUGAGAGGGUGAUCGGCCACACUGGAACUGAGACACGGUCCAGACUCCUACGGGAGGCAGCAGUAGGGAAUCUUCCGCAAUGGGCGAAAGCCUGACGGAGCAACGCCGCGUGAGUGAUGAAGGUCUUCGGAUCGUAAAACUCUGUUAUUAGGGAAGAACAUAUGUGUAAGUAACUGUGCACAUCUUGACGGUA
RNAcentral lists this ribosomal RNA (486 nucleotides) under uncultured microorganism. RNAcentral's name for it is "bacterial SSU rRNA". It matches the Rfam family "Bacterial small subunit ribosomal RNA", at positions 9 to 477 of the family's 1533-position model. The record is from RNAcentral.